RNAcentral lists this ribosomal RNA (381 nucleotides) under uncultured eukaryote. Its description in RNAcentral is "partial 18S ribosomal RNA". It matches the Rfam family "Eukaryotic small subunit ribosomal RNA", at positions 592 to 976 of the family's 1831-position model. The record is from RNAcentral.
CAAUAGCGUAUAUUAAAGCUGUUGCGGUUAAAAAGCUCGUAGUUGGAUUUCUGUCAAGGACAACUGGUCCGCCCUCCGGGUGAGCACAUAGUUUGGUCUUGACAUCUUGCUGGAAGCUGUUGCUGCACUUGGCUGUGUGGCGCAGUGUUCAGCACUUUCACUUUGAGGAAAUUGGAGUGUUUCAAGCAGGCACAUGCCUUUGGACACAGUAGCAUGGAAUAAUUAGAUUGGGCUUUUGCUCCAAUUUGUCGGUUUCUGGAGCUGGGGUGAGUAUUAAUGGGGAUUGUUGGGGGCAUCCGAAUUUAGCCGUCAGAGGUGAAAUUCUUGGAUCUGCUAAAGACGGACAACUGCGAAAGCGUUUGCCCAGGAUGUUUUCAUUGA